This 253-nucleotide ribosomal RNA is filed under the name uncultured bacterium. RNAcentral's name for it is "partial 16S ribosomal RNA". It matches the Rfam family "Bacterial small subunit ribosomal RNA", at positions 524 to 776 of the family's 1533-position model. The record is from RNAcentral.
UACAGAGGUGGCAAGCGUUGUUCGGAAUUACUGGGCGUAAAGCGCACGCAGGCGGCGCAUUAAGUCUGACGUGAAAUCUCCUGGCUUAACUGGGAGGGGUCGUUGGAGACUGAUGUGCUUGAGGCGAUGAGAGGGGUGUAGAAUUCCCGGUGUAGUGGUGGAAUGCGUAGAUAUCGGGAGGAAUACCAGUGGCGAAAGCGACACCCUGGCAUUAGCCUGACGCUCAUGUGCGAAGGCGUGGGGAGCGAACGGG